RNAcentral lists this ribosomal RNA (2790 nucleotides) under Klebsiella oxytoca. Its description in RNAcentral is "bacterial LSU rRNA". It matches the Rfam family "Bacterial large subunit ribosomal RNA". The record is from RNAcentral. Lineage: Bacteria; Pseudomonadati; Pseudomonadota; Gammaproteobacteria; Enterobacterales; Enterobacteriaceae.
AGCGUACACGGUGGAUGCCCUGGCAGUCAGAGGCGAUGAAGGACGUGCUAAUCUGCGAAAAGCGUCGGUAAGGUGAUAUGAACCGUUAUAGCCGGCGAUGUCCGAAUGGGGAAACCCAGUGCAAUUCGUUGCACUAUCGUUAACUGAAUACAUAGGUUAACGAGGCGAACCGGGGGAACUGAAACAUCUAAGUACCCCGAGGAAAAGAAAUCAACCGAGAUUCCCCCAGUAGCGGCGAGCGAACGGGGAGCAGCCCGGAGUCUGAAUCAGCUUGUGUGUUAGUGGAAGCGUCUGGAAAGUCGCAGGGUACAGGGUGAUACUCCCGUACACUAAAACACACAGGUUGUGAACUCGAAGAGUAGGGCGGGACACGUGGUAUCCUGUCUGAAUAUGGGGGGACCAUCCUCCAAGGCUAAAUACUCCUGACUGACCGAUAGUGAACCAGUACCGUGAGGGAAAGGCGAAAAGAACCCCGGCGAGGGGAGUGAAAAAGAACCUGAAACCGUGUACGUACAAGCAGUAGGAGCCCACUAGUUGGGUGACUGCGUACCUUUUGUAUAAUGGGUCAGCGACUUAUAUUCUGUAGCAAGGUUAACCGAAUAGGGGAGCCGCAGGGAAACCGAGUCUUAACUGGGCGUUAAGUUGCAGGGUAUAGACCCGAAACCCGGUGAUCUAGCCAUGGGCAGGUUGAAGGUUGGGUAACACUAACUGGAGGACCGAACCGACUAAUGUUGAAAAAUUAGCGGAUGACUUGUGGCUGGGGGUGAAAGGCCAAUCAAACCGGGAGAUAGCUGGUUCUCCCCGAAAGCUAUUUAGGUAGCGCCUCGUGAACUCAUCUUCGGGGGUAGAGCACUGUUUCGGCUAGGGGGUCAUCCCGACUUACCAACCCGAUGCAAACUACGAAUACCGAAGAAUGUUAUCACGGGAGACACACGGCGGGUGCUAACGUCCGUCGUGAAGAGGGAAACAACCCAGACCGCCAGCUAAGGUCCCAAAGUCAUGGUUAAGUGGGAAACGAUGUGGGAAGGCCCAGACAGCCAGGAUGUUGGCUUAGAAGCAGCCAUCAUUUAAAGAAAGCGUAAUAGCUCACUGGUCGAGUCGGCCUGCGCGGAAGAUGUAACGGGGCUAAACCAUGCACCGAAGCUGCGGCAGCGACGCUUAUGCGUUGUUGGGUAGGGGAGCGUUCUGUAAGCCGUUGAAGGUGGCCUGUGAGGGUUGCUGGAGGUAUCAGAAGUGCGAAUGCUGACAUAAGUAACGAUAAUGCGGGUGAAAAACCCGCACGCCGGAAGACCAAGGGUUCCUGUCCAACGUUAAUCGGGGCAGGGUGAGUCGACCCCUAAGGCGAGGCCGAAAGGCGUAGUCGAUGGGAAACAGGUUAAUAUUCCUGUACUUGGUGUUACUGCGAAGGGGGGACGGAGAAGGCUAUGUUGGCCGGGCGACGGUUGUCCCGGUUUAAGCAUGUAGGCGGAUGUUCCAGGUAAAUCCGGAACGUCACUAACGCUGAGGUGUGAUGACGAGGCACUACGGUGCUGAAGUGACAAAUGCCCUGCUUCCAGGAAAAGCCUCUAAGCAUCAGGUAACAUCAAAUCGUACCCCAAACCGACACAGGUGGUCAGGUAGAGAAUACCAAGGCGCUUGAGAGAACUCGGGUGAAGGAACUAGGCAAAAUGGUGCCGUAACUUCGGGAGAAGGCACGCUGAUGGUAAGUGAAGUGACUUGCUCAUGGAGCUGAAAUCAGUCGAAGAUACCAGCUGGCUGCAACUGUUUAUUAAAAACACAGCACUGUGCAAACACGAAAGUGGACGUAUACGGUGUGACGCCUGCCCGGUGCCGGAAGGUUAAUUGAUGGGGUUAUCCUCGCGGAGAAGCUCUUGAUCGAAGCCCCGGUAAACGGCGGCCGUAACUAUAACGGUCCUAAGGUAGCGAAAUUCCUUGUCGGGUAAGUUCCGACCUGCACGAAUGGCGUAAUGAUGGCCAGGCUGUCUCCACCCGAGACUCAGUGAAAUUGAACUCGCUGUGAAGAUGCAGUGUACCCGCGGCAAGACGGAAAGACCCCGUGAACCUUUACUAUAGCUUGACACUGAACACUGGUCCUUGAUGUGUAGGAUAGGUGGGAGGCUUUGAAGUGUGGACGCCAGUCUGCAUGGAGCCGUCCUUGAAAUACCACCCUUUAAUGGCUGGUGUUCUAACGUGGGCCCGUGAUCCGGGUUGCGGACAGUGUCUGGUGGGUAGUUUGACUGGGGCGGUCUCCUCCUAAAGAGUAACGGAGGAGCACGAAGGUCAGCUAAUCCUGGUCGGACAUCAGGAGGUUAGUGCAAUGGCAUAAGCUGGCUUGACUGCGAGCGUGACGGCGCGAGCAGGUGCGAAAGCAGGUCAUAGUGAUCCGGUGGUUCUGAAUGGAAGGGCCAUCGCUCAACGGAUAAAAGGUACUCCGGGGAUAACAGGCUGAUACCGCCCAAGAGUUCAUAUCGACGGCGGUGUUUGGCACCUCGAUGUCGGCUCAUCACAUCCUGGGGCUGAAGUAGGUCCCAAGGGUAUGGCUGUUCGCCAUUUAAAGUGGUACGCGAGCUGGGUUUAGAACGUCGUGAGACAGUUCGGUCCCUAUCUGCCGUGGGCGCUGGAGAAUUGAGGGGGGCUGCUCCUAGUACGAGAGGACCGGAGUGGACGCAUCACUGGUGUUCGGGUUGUCAUGCCAAUGGCAUUGCCCGGUAGCUAAAUGCGGAAGAGAUAAGUGCUGAAAGCAUCUAAGCACGAAACUUGCCCCGAGAUGAGUUCUCCCUGACUCCUUGA